Molecule: ribosomal RNA, 301 nt
Filed under: uncultured bacterium
Lineage: Bacteria
Description: partial 16S ribosomal RNA
Rfam family: Bacterial small subunit ribosomal RNA
Source: RNAcentral
CAGCAGCCGCGGGAAAACGUAGGGUGCGAGCGUUAAUCGGAAUUACUGGGCGUAAAGCGUGCGCAGGCGGUUCGUUAAGACAGAUGUGAAAUCCCCGGGCUUAACCUGGGAACUGCAUUUGUGACUGGCGAGCUAGAGUAUGGCAGAGGGGGGUAGAAUUCCACGUGUAGCAGUGAAAUGCGUAGAGAUGUGGAGGAAUACCGAUGGCGAAGGCAGCCCCCUGGGCCAAUACUGACGCUCAUGCACGAAAGCGUGGGGAGCAAACAGGAUUAGAUACCCGGGUAGUCCCUGUCUCUUAUAC